RNAcentral lists this ribosomal RNA (482 nucleotides) under uncultured bacterium. RNAcentral's name for it is "partial 16S ribosomal RNA". It matches the Rfam family "Bacterial small subunit ribosomal RNA", at positions 30 to 505 of the family's 1533-position model. The record is from RNAcentral.
AUUGAACGCUGGCGGCAUGCUUUACACAUGCAAGUCGAACGGCAGCACGGGCUUCGGCCUGGUGGCGAGUGGCGAACGGGUGAGUAAUAUAUCGGAACGUACCCAGAAGUGGGGGAUAACGUAGCGAAAGUUACGCUAAUACCGCAUACGAUCUAUGGAUGAAAGCAGGGGACCGCAAGGCCUUGUGCUCCUGGAGCGGCCGAUAUCUGAUUAGCUAGUUGGUGAGGUAAAGGCUCACCAAGGCGACGAUCAGUAGCUGGUCUGAGAGGACGACCAGCCACACUGGAACUGAGACACGGUCCAGACUCCUACGGGAGGCAGCAGUGGGGAAUUUUGGACAAUGGGCGCAAGCCUGAUCCAGCAAUGCCGCGUGAGUGAAGAAGGCCUUCGGGUUGUAAAGCUCUUUUGUCAGGGAAGAAACGGUAGAGGCUAAUAUCCUUUGCUAAUGACGGUACCUGAAGAAUAAGCACCGGCUAACUACG